GCGCAUAACACGGAAUUUCCGUGAUAUUGCUGUACUAUAUACGCAGAUCAUUUGUUAGCUGGUGCAGCUGGUUGCUGGAUGUAUGUGGUAUCACUACAAUCCAAUCCAAGGCACUCGACCUGAACUAUUCAGUACCAGUGGUGAGAGGCAAACAUCAGGAGCUGUGUCAUUUUAUCUACAUGUAAUCCAAUUUGAAGGACAUUCAAGUUCUAAUCAGGAACAAAACUUCAGAAAUAUCCAAUAGGAAAGAAUCAUUCACUGGCAAACUUGGUGGAGGAAGCAGGGAGUUGUACAGGAAGGAAGCCGUAUAGUUGUAUUUUGUGGGGGUUCUUUCCCUCCUGUUUUGGUCACAUAAAAGUGCCGUUCAGUUCGUCAGUGCUUCGGCCUCAGUAGCCUAUAAUGAGGAAAGCAGACAGGCUGGUCUGAAGAAUUGAUCACAACUAAUGAUUUGCCUUGCACGAUUGAAAAAAAGAAAUAUUUGAAAUUGACUUUUAGCAUUGUGGGAUUCCUGAUAAAGAAGUCAUACUGCAUCUUCAUUAAAGCAUUUUUUGUUGAACUGAAAUGCUGCCUGGAAAGUGACUGAGCAAGAAGUGAAGAGGCUGUUGAGAUAUUUUGUAAAAAGGGAUUAAGCCCUCACAUCAGUCGGAGGAACCCUAGUGCAGUAUAGUUUGAACAAAUCCUGGACAAUUAAUUUUCUUGUCAUGGAGAUGGAAAUGGAGCCAGGAGUUCUGCUCAUUACAGCUAAUGUGGGCUCAAUAUUUGAAGAGCCUGUACACAUGAUGUCAGUCUGGUUAGACAAAUUAUAUGAGACAAUAAAAAGAUUGGAGCCCAAGUUUAUUGCCCUUCAUUGCCAAGAACUCGGAGGGAAGAACUAUGAAUCCAGCAUGCAACACGUAGACAACUUUCUGCAGAAACUUUACGACAGUGAAGCGUUCCAAGAUUUUGAUCGAUCAAGCAUCUUUCUUGACAAGGAAUUCAAGACCCCAGAGUGUUUUACAGCAUUAGGCAGUUUUUAUUUCAUUCACAAGUCACUCAAAGAUGCACAGUGCUAUGACUAUAAAGAUUGUAAGUACCGAGAUCUCUCUGGUCAUGAGGAAUACUCCAGCAACCUUGCCAAAGUCACAACUCAAGAGAAGCUCAAAUUCCCCUCUCAUUUCUUUCCAGAGUGCAAGUGGUCAAGAAAAGGUUUCAUGAGAACAAGAUGGAGCAUUAAUGGAAGGCAAUUUGAACUGGUCAAUGUGCACCUGUUCCACGAUGCAAACAACGUCAUCGCCGUGGAAACGCAAUUCCCAUCACAAUACAGUAAAACAAGGAGAAAAGCAUUAGAAUUUGUUAUUCAGAGACUUUCACAAGAGAAGCACAGUAGAGUACCAUUCUUCAUCUUUGGAGAUUUCAACUUCAGGUUAGAUGCCCAGGGUGUAGUCAAGGCUCUUGUCUUACAAGCAAAGCCAAAAUAUACCAAGAAAGAUGGUGCCAUCACGAGAAUAGAAUAUUCAGAUGAAGAUAAUGCUCAGGUCUUGUUAACGUUAGAAAAGAAGAAGUUUGAAAUGGAUGAUCCAGAUAGAAUAUUGUCAUAUGGAAUUCAGUGGUUGUCAAGGUUUGACAAGGAAUUUAGCUGCUUCUCUAAACAACUCUCAGAAUUUGAUGUCACAUUUAACCCGAGCUAUCCAUACAGUGAAGAUAUAUCAGAUGGUCACAGCUACAUGAAGACAAGACCACCAGCGUGGUGUGACAGAGUCUUUAUGUCACACUCAGCUAAGAGUCUCAUAUCGGAUGCAAAUUCAAGACCAAGCUACAAUGUAAUUGGUCAAGAUGUGUGUAUGGGAGACCACAAGCCCGUCUUCCUCCACUUCCCCUUGUCAAAGAGCGGUGCUAAUAUAUCAGGUAAUGGUCACGCCACGCGGCAAGUGCGCCGUAAAUGCUGUUGCCUGUUGCAAUGACACCAGUCUUCCUGCCACUCCACCACCACCAUCCCGCCUUCUUACAAACCUCAUUCCAGUCUCUUGUCUUCCUCCUGUUGCUCGGUGUUUUAUAUAUUUGAUAUUGGUGUAGAUGUAUAUUUGGUGAAUGCUUGUGUUAUCCUGCCACGCCCUUCCAACAGUCGUAACCACCCCCUCUGCAGUUGUCUUCCUCUUCAACCCGUCUUCUUCUUCGUCUACUCCCUCUUAAUAGUCUGGUGCCUCAGUGCCACAGUAGAACCAGACAUAAAGCGGCAACGACUCUUGUGAAUGUCAGCACCCGAAACUUUGUUUGUGUGGCCAUUGCGAAUUCGCUACAAGUACAACUACCACUACACACGAUCAGAGCGCCCUCAUGUGCUGAUAUAUCGUGAGACAUCUGUUUGAAUGCUGGCUCUGAAGUCAUGGACCAAUCAUCUGUCAUUCUCCUCUCAUUUAAUCCCCUAACCUUUUUCUCUUCCUUAUUCUAAUUUCGUCUGUGUUGAUAUGGAGGCUGAAUAAUGCAAACUUGUUUAAAGAAUGGAUCAAAUUUCUUGUUUGUAAGGUCCACCUAUCCACUGAGAUGUAUGAAAAAGCUUCGACUUGUGGGAUAAGCUGAACAGUGCAUUUUUCCUUUUUCUCUUGCAUGCUUAACACCUAAUUUUAAUAACCAUAAUUUUUUUUAAACAAUGCUUCUAAACAGUUUGCAUUUUGCAUUCAAUAUUGAAGUCGUGAACAUAAAAUGAUCUGGCUUGAAGUUCACAGUAAAUUUAGCUAGGAAUACUAAAAUGAAAAAAAUCUGCUUUCCUGCAAGCUUCAUGAUCAGAGUAAACUCCAAAUUGGUUUUAAUUUUUUUUUUGGCUAGUAAAUUUUUUUCAGGUAGGAACUAUCCUUAAUUUGUGGUUGAAAACUUUUUUUUGCUUGUCAAAUUUUCCUCCGAAAAAUUUGUCCCCCACUUUUGGAAAAUCCUGGAUCUGCCCCUGACUUCAUACCACUAUUCAGAACUUUUUUAUUGUAAUGAUUUCACUGAUAUGAAUGUUCACAUCAAAUGCUAUUUCAAUUUUCCAAAAAAUUGGAAUGCAAAUGGAUGGGAUAGUGUGCUCCUUGCUUUGAAUGAUAUCAUACAGCAUAGUAUUUGAAUACCAAAAUUUGAAUAAACAUCUCAUAUAUGUAUUUGGACAUUGCAAUAACAGUAAGAUUGCCAAACAAUCAGAAACAUUUUUUUUUAGAUUUCCCAUAUUUUAAGAUUUUUAAGUGGUAUCCAGAUAUAGCUUCUAAAUAAACAUCAAUCUUGAUUUGGUGUGAUAUAAACUAUUUGCAACUAAUUAUAUCUAUUAAACUUGAUUGCACAUAAGUAUAGAGAUGGUGAUUUUCUGUUUCAAAAACUGGUCUUUUCUGUUUCUGAAAAUCUGUAAUUCCAUUUCAACUUUAAAAAAUUAUGUUUUGUCACUGAAAAUGUACACUGCAAAAACCUGAAUUCCGUUUUGCAUAGGUGAAUUCCAUGAAUUUUACAUGAAUAGUAUAAGAACCGAAUGGAAUUUUCAUUUUAUUUACCGGUAAGAUAAAAAAGAAUCACUGUCCCUGCACAUAUUUUUUCUGCAAUUGAAUUUAAGUAGACAAGUAACAGUUGCUAUUAAACAGUGUUUUGUGAUGCUGGUCUUAUAUCACCAAUAAUUAGAAUGCCAAUCAUGGCUAUAAAUUCAUUUUCAAGAAACUUUAAGAAGGAAUUUCUGAAACUGGGUUUAUAUCCAUGGAUAACAUUGAUGUUUCGGGACACUUCAUCUUAAAAAAAAUGCACUUGGCUUCAGAAUAAUGCUAAGUUUAAGAUUUUUAAUGUCAAUCUUUAUAUAGAAGUUUGAAUGUCUUUGGAGUUGAACUCCAAAAUCCUUUACAAUUUGAUGACUAAAAGGGGGAGCCUCUCCAUUAUCAAAUUGACUAGAAUAAUUUUUUACUCUGCUAUGUAAGGUAAGAUACACAGUAAUAAGCUAUCACCUGAAAAUAUUUCAUCCCUUAUAUUUAGGCCUAAGUCUAUAUUUGAAUGAUUCACAAACUUGUAAUUUUACCCCUUCAGUUGAUGAGUGAAAUUUUGAACAAAGAAGCACAAGUUUUUGUGAUAUUCCUUCAAUGAGAUGACAAUGAAAC
RNA transcript from Lytechinus variegatus (green sea urchin), 4079 nucleotides. It is a transcript of the gene named inositol polyphosphate-5-phosphatase A-like, with no coding region annotated. NCBI's taxonomy places the organism in Eukaryota, Metazoa, Echinodermata, Echinoidea, Temnopleuroida, Toxopneustidae. The record is from RefSeq and is a predicted model, not a curated record. The transcript is spliced from 19 exons.